GACGAACGCUGGCGGCGUGCUUAACACAUGCCAGUCGAACGGAAAGGCCCUGCUUUUGUGGGGUGCUCGAGUGGCGAACGGGUGAGUAACACGUGAGUAACCUGCCCUUGACUUUGGGAUAACUUCAGGAAACUGGGGCUAAUACCGGAUAGGAGCUCCUGCUGCAUGGUGGGGGUUGGAAAGUUUCGGCGGUUGGGGAUGGACUCGCGGCUUAUCAGCUUGUUGUUGGGGUAGUGGCUUACCAAGGCUUUGACGGGUAGCCGGCCUGAGAGGGUGACCGGCCACAUUGGGACUGAGAUACGGCCCAGACUCCUACGGGAGGCAGCAGUGGGGAAUAUUGCACAAUGGGCGGAAGCCUGAUGCAGCAACGCCGCGUGCGGGAUGACGGCCUUCGGGUUGUAAACCGCUUUCGCCUGUGACGAAGCGUGAGUGACGGUAAUGGGUAAAGAAGCACCGGCUAACUACGUG
Molecule: ribosomal RNA, 468 nt
Filed under: uncultured bacterium
Lineage: Bacteria
Description: partial 16S ribosomal RNA
Rfam family: Bacterial small subunit ribosomal RNA
Source: RNAcentral